AGUCCUGAGACAUGCAAGUCGAGCGGUAACAGAUCCAGCUUGCUGGAUGCUGACGAGCGGCGGACGGGUGAGUAAUGCAUAGGAAUCUGCCCGAUAGUGGGGGAUAACCUGGGGAAACCCAGGCUAAUACCGCAUACGUCCUACGGGAGAAAGGGGGCUCCGGCUCCCGCUAUGGGAUGAGCCUAUGUCGGAUUAGCUAGUUGGUGAGGUAACGGCUCACCAAGGCCACGAUCCGUAGCUGGUCUGAGAGGAUGAUCAGCCACAUCGGGACUGAGACACGGCCCGAACUCCUACGGGAGGCAGCAGUGGGGAAUAUUGGACAAUGGGGGAAACCCUGAUCCAGCCAUGCCGCGUGUGUGAAGAAGGCCCUCGGGUUGUAAAGCACUUUCAGCGAGGAAGAACGCCUAGCGGUUAAUACCCGCUAGGAAAGACAUCACUCGCAGAAGAAGCACCGGCUAACUCCGUGCCAGCAGCCGCGGUAAUACGGAGGGUGCAAGCGUUAAUCGGAAUUACUGGGCGUAAAGCGCGCGUAGGUGGCUUGAUAAGCCGGUUGUGAAAGCCCCGGGCUCAACCUGGGAACGGCAUCCGGAACUGUCAAGCUAGAGUGCAGGAGAGGAAGGUAGAAUUCCCGGUGUAGCGGUGAAAUGCGUAGAGAUCGGGAGGAAUACCAGUGUCGAAGUCGUCCUUCUGCACUGUCACUUACCCUGA
This 708-nucleotide ribosomal RNA is filed under the name Halomonas sp. J436. RNAcentral describes it as "bacterial SSU rRNA". It matches the Rfam family "Bacterial small subunit ribosomal RNA", at positions 44 to 749 of the family's 1533-position model. Lineage: Bacteria; Pseudomonadati; Pseudomonadota; Gammaproteobacteria; Oceanospirillales; Halomonadaceae. The record is from RNAcentral.